This is a long non-coding RNA of Bos taurus (domestic cattle), 3086 nucleotides long. NCBI's taxonomy places the organism in Eukaryota, Metazoa, Chordata, Mammalia, Artiodactyla, Bovidae. The record is from Ensembl.
ACUGUAGCCCUCCAAGCUCCUCAGUCCAUGGGGAUUCUCCAGGCAAGAAUACUGGAGUCAGUGGCCUUUCCCUUCUCCAGGGGAUCUUCCCAAUCCAGGGAUUGAACCCAGGUCCCCUGCAGUGCAGGUGGAUUCUUCACCAUCUGAGCCACCAGGGAAACCCAAACCUUAUUUUAGAGUUCACCAAUAGUUGAUGGCAGAAACUUCUUCUUUAGAGAUGAAUACCAGCUGAUAAAAGCAGAAGGAAUGAUAGAGUGAGGAAACCUUUUUUUAAUCACCUAUUGGAAGAAUGAGUCUAGGCAAUGGUCAUUAACAGAUGCUAAAGCCCUUAGGUGACAGGUUGACGGGGACUACAGAGGAGGGAUCAGCCUGGUGGUGAGCCAGGAACCUGCUAUCAAUCUUAAUGAAUAUUACUAAGAGGGUAACAGGACAUUAUGGUAUGAUGCAAACCAAAUACACAGUAUUUCCUCUGAAGCAGCCUUGCUGAAAAAGUUAAGCUGAAUCUAAGCAAGCCUCUGGAUCUUUUCAUUUAACAGGAAAUUCAGCAGAGGAACUAGUUAGAAAAUGUCAAGUCAAUGCCGUGGGACAUUUUCCAGGGCAAUUGAUCUGACUUCUCCAAUAAAUUCAUGACAUGGAACCUAGGUGGUGGCGGUGGGGGUGGGGGGGGGGGAGGUGCAAUACAGAUGUGAGACUUUAGACUUAGAGGUUUAACACCUAAAAUUAGUAUGUGGUCUUUGUUCAGAUCCUGAUUCAAAGGAGUCAACACUUAAAAAAGAUUUUUGAAAGACAAAUGCCAUAUGAUACCGCUUACUUGUGGAAUCUAAAGUAUGCCACAGAUGGGCCUGUCUGCAAAAUAGAAACCGACUCACAGACUUGGGAGUGCCAAGAGGGAGAGGGGUAUAAGAGAGAUGGCUUGGGAGUUCGGGAUUAGUAGAUACAAACUAUUCUCCUACAGUGGUCCUACUUUAUAGCAUAGGAACUAAAAUAAAGUUAGUAUCCUGGGGUAAAGCCUCAUGGAAAAGAACAUAAAAAAAUAUAUAUGUAGGUAUAACGGAGUCACUUAGCUGUACUGUAGAAAUUAACACAACAUUCUAAAUCAACUACACUUCAAUAACAAAAAUAAAUUUAAAAAAUAUUUCUGAGGCAGCAUAGAAAACCUGGAAUAUAGACCAGAUAUUAAAUGACCGUGGGCAAGAAUUAUCAGUUUUGUUUGUUGUAAUAAUGGCAGAAUAGUUAAAUAAAAAAGAAAAAAAAAUGUUUAUUGGUUAUGGGCUCAUACUGAAGUGUUUAGGAUAAAAGUAGAUGAUAGUUUGGAUUUUUCUAGAAACAUUCCAAUAUAGGAAAAGAAAGAAAAAGAAGGGAAUAAAGAGAUGAAACAGGAUUGGAAAAUAUGGGCAUCCUUCAAGAUGAUUAAAGAAACUCAUGUGAACCCAUUAUGCCAGUCUUUCUAAUCUUGCAUGUGUGUUCAUUCACUCAGUCGUGUCUGACACUUCGUGAUCCCAUGGACUGUAUAGCCCACCAGGCUCCUCUGUCCAUGGAAUUUUCCAGGCGAGAAUACUGGAGUGGGUUGCCAUUUCUACUCCAGGAGAUCUUCCUGGCCCAGGGAUUAAACUCAAGUCUCCUGCAUUGACAGGCGUUCUUACCACUGAGCCACCUGGGAAGCCCUCUUUCUAAGCUUAUGUGUUUUCAGUGUUUUCCAUAAUAAAAGUUCCAGUAGGAUCAUUGAGAUGUUGCUUCUUGCAAAUGUUAGAUCCUAGAAUACAAGUUCAAGACACCAAAAGUGUGCCCUAUAUGCUAGAGACUGCAAGGAGUCACGGAGAGAGAUGUUUGGGCUUUUCUGAGACGGGAUUUCAAGCAUGUUAAGGCAAACCAUCUGAUGAUGGAGCGGGCCACCGAGGUGCAUUCCAUUCUCAUUACAGCAGAGGUUUUAUGGAGCCGGGUUUCUCAGCGUGGUGUCUGGCAUGCUGCGAAAGGAGUAGCCGUGCGCUCUUUCCUGUGGGGUCUUGAAACCGGUGGUCGGGAAACCAAGCAGCACACUCGGAGAGGUGGAGAGCUCAGGUUAAUCACGCGGGAACCAAGCAGCACACUCGGAGAGGUGGAGAGCUCAGGUUAAUCACGCGGGAACCAAGCAGCACACUCGGAGAGGUGGAGAGCUCAGGUUAAUCACGCGGGAACCAAGCAGCACACUCGGAGAGGUGGAGAACUCAGGUUAAUCACGCGGGCAGGCCCAGAUGUGUCAACACUCCAAGCUCUGAGGCCCAAACAAAGAAGUUACAGGGUUUUUAUAGACAGACGAUAGUGGGCAGCACUAGCUGCUAUAUGCUGGUUUAAACUAAGAAGUUUCGCGAGCCGGAACAGCAAUCUUGACGGGGAGGGGAAUGCCUGAGCUUUACAUGAACAGGCAUGAUUAAGCAGGUUUGCAGGGGCCGGGCGAUUGCAGGACGAGGGUGAGUGAGAUAAGCUCCAAUUCCUAGCAUUGUAAGUCCCCACUUUCUGAGACUUCCUGACCUACGUGAUCCAGAAUUUGUAAGGAGUAAGCUGAGCUACAGAGGCAGGACAAGCAGGAGGUUAUGUAAAAAUUUUCACUUUUCCUCUUCAAUAUUGCUCCUUGUUGAGCGUCUUUGACAGGCUCCAUCUCUGCAGCUGUAACAAGGAGGUCUGACUGCACCAUAACUCACAUACUAAUAACAAAAGCCCGCGUGGCUCGCUGGGGAUUUACUGUUUUCCAGUUCCUGUCAUACAGCUGACAAGGAAUGUCUUAUUUUAUGAUCCUGAAACUGGGCAGGACCCUAAGGGGCCUUCCCGGGACAGACCCUCCCCCGACACCCUCUGCUGUGGCUCUUCUCUGAAGUGCCUAGAUAAUAGCAUCUGAUGCACACUCCCUGAGUUGAUUUACAGAUGCUAAAACCACCACCAAAUGGAAGAAAUUAGCCACCUGAUGACCCUGAGCACUUAGCCCCCAGACCUACUGGCGCCUGAGGAUUGAUUCCGUUAACCCCUGCAACAAGGCCUCUUUAUGUCUGCAUCAGCCAAGCACAGAAUUGUGCACGAGCUGAUCACAGCCCCUGCGAGUCCCUCUCCCUCAC